GGGUCGGUGUCCGAGUGGUUAAAGGAGAUGGACUGUAAAUCCAUUGGCUUAAUAGCCUUCAUAGGUUCAAAUCCUAUCUGACCCA
RNAcentral lists this transfer RNA (85 nucleotides) under Candidatus Omnitrophota bacterium. RNAcentral's name for it is "tRNA-Tyr". It matches the Rfam family "tRNA". Rfam says of the family: Transfer RNA (tRNA) molecules are approximately 80 nucleotides in length. Their secondary structure includes four short double-helical elements and three loops (D, anti-codon, and T loops). Lineage: Bacteria; Pseudomonadati; Candidatus Omnitrophota. The record is from RNAcentral.